GAGAGAAAGACAAGAAUGAUGCUCAGUUUCCUGACUUAGGAUACUUGGCUUCUGGUGCUGCCUUUCACCUACAAUGGAGUACAGGAGAGGGAGCAGGUAUGAUGGAGGUGUGGGGUGUGUUGUUUUAUACAUACCAUCUGAUCUCUGUGCUCUCCUUGGGUCACUGAAACUGGCAUGAGGAUGCCCCCAACCUUUUCUUUCCUUUUUCUUUAUUCAGAGGGCUACUCCAAGAAGCCCUCACCCUCUACAGAUCUCCAGACAAGAACUAGACAGUAGUCUCCAUGGAUAUAGAAAAUCCCUCACCCUAGGACACACUCAUCAAGGUCUCCUAAAUAUGCUCAGCUAACUUUCCACCCACAGCUACACGUUUGGUUGCCCAGCUAGUAUCCAGCCUGGGAUCAAGAAACCAGUUUCCCCUUCUUGCAGGAUCUCCAGUCUUGGUGAACGAUUCCCUCAGAGACCCACUCCUACUCCACCACAAAUCACAUCCCCUUCCGCAGGCCUCUCCUUAUUUAGAGUCCUUUCAUUGGUCAAUAAUCUGGCCCAAGUUCUUUACACGGCAACUGGCUUCUAGAAAGAUGGUAAUUAAAUUUUCUAGCCUUGGAAAUUUCACAAGAUCACUUCCAUUGCAUUCUGCUAAUAAGCCAAGUCACAUAACCAGCCCAGAGUCAACAUCCCAAGUCUGGAUGGGAAGAAUGAGAAAGGAUUGUGGCCAUCUUUAAACUGCCAAACUCUGGUAAAAUCAAUUUACAUUUUUGCUUUUUGAACAACAUGCUGCUUCCUUACAUGUACCUUUGGACAUAGGAUUACUUCUAUCUGGACUGGCCUUUUCCUUUCCCCUUCUAUUAUCUUUAUUAGUUUACUAAUAAUUUUAUUAUUAUUAUUUCCUUUCCCCUUCCAUUAUCUUUAUUAGUUUACUAAUUUUACUCAUUAAAUUACUUUGCAAGUUUUUUUAUACCUCCACAGUGAUCAGUCUGUGGAUAUCGGCAAUGAUCUUGGGCAUGCCAGCUCUCUUUAGUCUAGAGCAAUUUAUGGAGAUGGUUGGCAGCCUUGGCAGCUGGAGGAGUUAGCAUGUUAAUUUUGAAGGGGCAUCUGGAUGAUACAGCACAGUGUCCAUUGCAUUCUACUGUCCCCCCGCUCCCCCCGCAUUUUCUCUCUCUGUGUUGAUAAUGUGUUUUUUGUUUUGUUUUUUGAGACAGGGUCUUACUCUGUCACCCAGGCUGGAGUGCAGUGGUGCAAUCAUAGCUCACUGCAGCCUUGAACUCUUAGGCUCACGUGAUCCUCCCACCUCAGCUUCCUGAGCAGCUGGGACCACAGGUAUGUGCCACCACACUUGUCGUUUUGUAGAGAUAAUCGUUGCAUUUUUUUUAUACAGACGGGGACCUCCCUAUGUUGCCUAGGCUGAUCCGAACUCAAGAACUCAAGUGAUCCACCCACCUCAGCCUCCCAAAGUGCUGGGAUUACAGGUUUGAGCCACCGCGCCCAGCUGAUAAUCUGUUCUUGACAAGCCUCACUGGGGGCACUGUUGCUUCUGAACUCCACCCAGCAGCUGGAACAACUACUCUUGUUUCCAUUCCUCCCUGUGUUUUCAAAUAUUUACUAUACCUUAACUCACUGCUUUAAUUCGUCACAUAUAGUCUCUUACCCAUCCAGUUAUCACUUGUUGUGUCUUCUCGAAACUUAACCUGUUCUCAGUGACCAUCACUUGUCAACAGCCCCCAGAACUUGAGCUCUGGCUCUCUGUGAAUGCCAGCUUUUGUUCUCUGGCCUUACCCUUCUAGUUUCCCUCCAGUUUAGUGGGCUUGUCUAAUUUCAUGGCCGUCCCUGUUUGAGUCAGUGAACCUACAUAUGAUCAUAUUCACAGGAUCACAAAUAAUCACAAAAAUAUAAUCACAAUAAUAUUCACUAAUAUUCACAAAAAUGCAAAUAAAACAAUUAUGAGAUUUUUUUUCAUGUGUAAGAUUAUCCGAGAUUUAAAAGGCUGACAAAAAUCUCUGAAAAAAUGGCACUACUCUAUUUUCUUAUCCCGUUGGUGCAGUUAAAUUGACAUGACCUUUCUGGAGAAGAGUUUUUCGACAUGUUUAUCAUCAUGUGAAUUACCCAGCAAUUGAAUUUCCAGUCAUUUAUACUGACAAGGUAUUCUCACAGGUAUGAAAAGACUUAUAAAAAAGGAUAUUCAUUGCAAUAUAAUAGGAAAAUUGGGAAGAUAAACUGUGUCCAUCAAUUAAUAAGUAAAAUAGGGUAUAAAGAUAUAAUUCUAUGGGAACAUUAAGAUGAGGAAUAGAUUUAUAUUUAUCUACAUGAAAAUAUGUUUAUGAUAUUGCUAAAUGAAAAAAUCAAGUUAUAGAAAAUCAUGUAUUCUAUGAUCCCAUUUGUAUGAAAUUAUAAACAUGCAUUUAUAAGUAUAUAUUUAUGC
This 2416-nucleotide long non-coding RNA is filed under the name Callithrix jacchus (white-tufted-ear marmoset). Its description in RNAcentral is "lncRNA (ENSCJAG00000084305.1)". Lineage: Eukaryota; Metazoa; Chordata; Mammalia; Primates; Cebidae. The record is from RNAcentral.